UCCUUCUUAGUUCAGUUGGUAGAACGGCGGACUGUUAAUCCGUAUGUCACUGGUUCAAGUCCAGUAGAGGGAGCCA
Molecule: transfer RNA, 76 nt
Filed under: Photobacterium iliopiscarium
Lineage: Bacteria; Pseudomonadati; Pseudomonadota; Gammaproteobacteria; Vibrionales; Vibrionaceae
Also listed under: 3 other names
Description: tRNA-Asn
Rfam family: tRNA
About the family: Transfer RNA (tRNA) molecules are approximately 80 nucleotides in length. Their secondary structure includes four short double-helical elements and three loops (D, anti-codon, and T loops).
Source: RNAcentral